Molecule: ribosomal RNA, 253 nt
Filed under: uncultured bacterium
Lineage: Bacteria
Description: partial 16S ribosomal RNA
Rfam family: Bacterial small subunit ribosomal RNA
Source: RNAcentral
UACGUAGGGUGCAAGCGUUGUCCGGAAUUAUUGGGCGUAAAGAGCUCGUAGGCGGUUUGUCGCGUCUGCUGUGAAAAUCCAGGGCUUAACCCUGGACCUGCAGUGGGUACGGGCAGACUGGAGUGCGGUAGGGGAGAUCGGAAUUCCCGGUGUAGUGGUGGAAUGCGUAGAUAUCGGGAGGAACACCAGUGGCGAAGGCGGUUGCCUGGAGCUUUGCUGACGCUGAGGCGCGAAAGCGUGGGGAGCGAUCCGG